Long non-coding RNA from Amphibalanus amphitrite, 97 nucleotides. RefSeq lists it as uncharacterized. The record is from RefSeq and is a predicted model, not a curated record. The transcript is spliced from 3 exons. Lineage: Eukaryota; Metazoa; Arthropoda; Thecostraca; Balanomorpha; Balanidae.
AUGUUCCCCGUUUUAUCUGGUUUUACGUGUCUGGUGAAAAGCCACUUUUAUUGUGGAUCCUAGAUGAAUACACAUCUGUAUCUGCACGUGCUGUCCG